Molecule: long non-coding RNA, 249 nt
Organism: Thalassophryne amazonica
Lineage: Eukaryota; Metazoa; Chordata; Actinopteri; Batrachoidiformes; Batrachoididae
Exons: 3
Source: RefSeq, a predicted model, not a curated record
CAUGUUGCACCCAAACCAGCAAAACAUGAACAAUAUGCACUGCAAAUUGCCCCGGUCUUCUUCUGGAAACACACCCAUAACUUGUGUGGCACUGCUCUGAUGUUUUGUGAAGGUGUGCAUGUUGUCUUCAGCACACAAUGGUCUGGAUCAGCAUGUCGGUAGAACACUUCCUGUAUCCAUGACUGUUGUGACACAAAAUAACUGAAUGCCUUCCCUAAAGAAAAAACAAAGAUAAACUCAAUUUAAAUG